UGGGGAAUAUUGGACAAUGGGCGAAAGCCUGAUCCAGCCAUGCCGCGUGUGUGAAGAAGGUCUUCGGAUUGUAAAGCACUUUAAGUUGGGAGGAAGGGCAGUAAGCGAAUAUCUUGCUGUUUUGACGUUACCGACAGCAUAAGUACCGGCUAACUCUGUGCCAGCAGCCGCGGUAAUACAGAGGGUGCAAGCGUUAAUCGGAAUUACUGGGCGUAAAGCGCGCGUAGGUGGUUCGUUAAGUUGAAUGUGAAAGCCCCGGGCUCAACCUGAGAACUGCAUCUAAAGCUAGCGAGCGGGAGUAGUACAGGGGUUGGUGGAAUUUCCUAUGUAGCGGUGAAAUGCGUAGAUAUAGGAAGGAACACCAGUGGCUAAGGCGACCACCUGGGCUCAUACUGACACUGAGGUGCGAAAGCGUGGGGAGCAAACAGG
This 429-nucleotide ribosomal RNA is filed under the name Pseudomonadota bacterium. RNAcentral's name for it is "Proteobacteria bacterium partial 16S ribosomal RNA". It matches the Rfam family "Bacterial small subunit ribosomal RNA", at positions 355 to 776 of the family's 1533-position model. The record is from RNAcentral. Lineage: Bacteria; Pseudomonadati; Pseudomonadota.